Molecule: ribosomal RNA, 327 nt
Filed under: uncultured eukaryote
Lineage: Eukaryota
Description: partial 18S ribosomal RNA
Rfam family: Eukaryotic small subunit ribosomal RNA
Source: RNAcentral
CCCUUAGAUGUCCUGGGCCGCACGCGCGCUACACUGAUGCAUUCAACGAGUUUUACCUUGGCCGAGAGGCCUGGGCAAUCUUUUAAACCUGCAUCGUGAUAGGGAUAGAUUAUUGCAAUUAUUAAUCUUCAACGAGGAAUGCCUAGUAAGCGUGAUUCAUCGAAUCGCGUUGAUUACGUCCCUGCCCUUUGUACACACCGCCCGUCGCUCCUACCGAUUGAAUGUGUUGGUGAGGAGCUCGGAUUGGCAGCAGUUGGUGGUUCGCCACCGGCUAUUGCUGAGAAGUCCUCCAAACCGCCCCAUUUAGAGGAAGGAGAAGUCGUAACA